AGUGAACGCUGGCGGUAGGCCUAACACAUGCAAGUCGAACGGCAGCACAGUAAGAGCUUGCUCUUACGGGUGGCGAGUGGCGGACGGGUGAGGAAUACAUCGGAAUCUACUUUUUCGUGGGGGAUAACGUAGGGAAACUUACGCUAAUACCGCAUACGACCUACGGGUGAAAGCAGGGGAUCUUCGGACCUUGCGCGAUUGAAUGAGCCGAUGUCGGAUUUGCUAGUUGGCGGGGUAAAGGCCCACCAAGUCGACGAUCCGUAGCUGGUCUGAGAGGAUGAUCAGCCACACAGGAACUGAGACACGGUCCAGGCUCCUACGGGAGGCAGCAGACGGGAAUAUUGGACAAUGGGCGCAAGCCUGAUCCAGCCAUACCGCGUGGGUGAAGAAGGCCUUCGGGUCGUAAAGCCCUUUUGUUGGGAAAGAACAGCAGCAGGUUAAUACCCCGCUGUUCUGACGGUACCCAAAGAAUAAGCACCGGCUAACUUCGUG
RNAcentral lists this ribosomal RNA (492 nucleotides) under uncultured bacterium. RNAcentral's name for it is "partial 16S ribosomal RNA". It matches the Rfam family "Bacterial small subunit ribosomal RNA", at positions 29 to 507 of the family's 1533-position model. The record is from RNAcentral.